RNAcentral lists this ribosomal RNA (251 nucleotides) under uncultured bacterium. RNAcentral describes it as "partial 16S ribosomal RNA". It matches the Rfam family "Bacterial small subunit ribosomal RNA", at positions 524 to 776 of the family's 1533-position model. The record is from RNAcentral.
UACGUAGGCAGCGAGCGUUGUUCGGAGUUACUGGGCGUAAAGGGUGUGUAGGCGGUUGUUUAAGUUUGGUGAAAUCUCCCGGCUCAACUGGGAGGGUGCGCCGAAUACUGAAUGACUAGAGUGCGGGAGAGGAAAGUGGAAUUCCUGGUGUAGCGGUGAAAUGCGCAGAUAUCAGGAAGAACACCUAUGGCGAAGGCAGCUCUCUGGGACGGUACUGACGCUGAGACGCGAAAGCGUGGGGAGCGAACAGG